UACGUAUGGUGCAAGCGUUAUCCGGAUUUACUGGGCGUAAAGGGAGCGCGGGCGGCGCGCCAAGUCCGAUGUGAAACCCCGGGGCUCAACCCCGGGCAUGCAUUGGAAACUGGCGGGCUGGAGUGCCGGAGAGGUAAGCGGAAUUCCUAGUGUAGCGGUGAAAUGCGUAGAUAUUAGGAGGAACACCAGUGGCGAAGGCGGCUUACUGGACGGCAACUGACGCUGAGGCUCGAAAGCGUGGGGAGCAAACAGG
RNAcentral lists this ribosomal RNA (253 nucleotides) under uncultured bacterium. Its description in RNAcentral is "partial 16S ribosomal RNA". It matches the Rfam family "Bacterial small subunit ribosomal RNA", at positions 524 to 776 of the family's 1533-position model. The record is from RNAcentral.